ACUCCUACGGGAGGCAGCAGUGAGGAAUAUUGCGCAAUGGGGGCAACCCUGACGCAGCGACGCCGCGUGAGUGAGGAAGGCCUUCGGGUCGUAAAGCUCUGUCAAGAGGGAAGAAGUGCAUGGUGGUUAAUAUCUGUCAUGUUUGACGGUACCUCUAAAGGAAGCACCGGCUAACUCCGUGCCAGCAGCCGCGGUAAU
This 198-nucleotide ribosomal RNA is filed under the name uncultured bacterium. Its description in RNAcentral is "partial 16S ribosomal RNA". It matches the Rfam family "Bacterial small subunit ribosomal RNA", at positions 335 to 524 of the family's 1533-position model. The record is from RNAcentral.